This 481-nucleotide ribosomal RNA is filed under the name uncultured bacterium. RNAcentral's name for it is "bacterial SSU rRNA". It matches the Rfam family "Bacterial small subunit ribosomal RNA", at positions 501 to 985 of the family's 1533-position model. The record is from RNAcentral.
CUACGUGCCAGCAGCCGCGGUAAUACGGAAGGUCCGGGCGUUAUCCGGAUUUAUUGGGUUUAAAGGGAGCGUAGGCUGGAGAUUAAGUGUGUUGUGAAAUGUAGACGCUCAACGUCUGACUUGCAGCGCAUACUGGUUUCCUUGAGUACGCACAACGUUGGCGGAAUUCGUCGUGUAGCGGUGAAAUGCUUAGAUAUGACGAAGAACUCCGAUUGCGAAGGCAGCUGACGGGAGCGCAACUGACGCUGAAGCUCGAAGGUGCGGGUAUCGAACAGGAUUAGAUACCCUGGUAGUCCGCACAGUAAACGAUGGAUGCCCGCUGUUGGUACCUGGUAUCAGCGGCUAAGCGAAAGCAUUAAGCAUCCCACCUGGGGGGUACGCCGGCAACGGUGAAACUCAAAGGAAUUGACGGGGGCCCGCACAAGCGGAGGAACAUGUGGUUUAAUUCGAUGAUACGCGAGGAACCUUACCCGGGCUUGAA